GAACGAACGCUGGCGGCAGGCUUAACACAUGCAAGUCGAACGCCCCGCAAGGGGAGUGGCAGACGGGUGAGUAACGCGUGGGAACAUACCCUUUCCUGCGGAAUAGCUCCGGGAAACUGGAAUUAAUACCGCAUACGCCCUACGGGGGAAAGAUUUAUCGGGGAAGGAUUGGCCCGCGUUGGAUUAGCUAGUUGGUGGGGUAAAGGCCUACCAAGGCGACGAUCCAUAGCUGGUCUGAGAGGAUGAUCAGCCACAUUGGGACUGAGACACGGCCCAAACUCCUACGGGAGGCAGCAGUGGGGAAUAUUGGACAAUGGGCGCAAGCCUGAUCCAGCCAUGCCGCGUGAGUGAUGAAGGCCUUAGGGUUGUAAAGCUCUUUCACCGGAGAAGAUAAUGACGGUAUCCGGAGAAGAAGCCCCGGCUAACUUCGUGCCAGCAGCCGCGGUAAUACGAAGGGGGCUAGCGUUGUUCGGAAUUACUGGGCGUAAAGCGCACGUAGGCGGAUAUUUAAGUCAGGGGUGAAAUCCCAGAGCUCAACUCUGGAACUGCCUUUGAUACUGGGUAUCUUGAGUAUGGAAGAGGUAAGUGGAAUUCCGAGUGUAGAGGUGAAAUUCGUAGAUAUUCGGAGGAACACCAGUGGCGAAGGCGGCUUACUGGUCCAUUACUGACGCUGAG
Molecule: ribosomal RNA, 675 nt
Filed under: Agrobacterium tumefaciens
Lineage: Bacteria; Pseudomonadati; Pseudomonadota; Alphaproteobacteria; Hyphomicrobiales; Rhizobiaceae
Description: bacterial SSU rRNA
Rfam family: Bacterial small subunit ribosomal RNA
Source: RNAcentral